UACGGAGGGUGCGAGCGUUGUCCGGAUUUAUUGGGUUUAAAGGGUGCGUAGGUGGCUAUUUAAGUCAGUGGUGAAAUACAGCCGCUCAACGGUUGAGGUGCCAUUGAUACUGAAUAGCUUGAAAGAAUUGGAGGCUGCCGGAAUGGAUGGUGUAGCGGUGAAAUGCAUAGAUAUCAUCCAGAACACCGAUUGCGAAGGCAGGUGGCUACGAUUUAUUUGACACUGAGGCACGAAAGCAUGGGGAGCAAACAGG
Molecule: ribosomal RNA, 253 nt
Filed under: uncultured bacterium
Lineage: Bacteria
Also listed under: 1 other name
Description: partial 16S ribosomal RNA
Rfam family: Bacterial small subunit ribosomal RNA
Source: RNAcentral